RNAcentral lists this transfer RNA (76 nucleotides) under Arsenophonus sp. Its description in RNAcentral is "tRNA-Ala". It matches the Rfam family "tRNA". From Rfam's summary of the family: Transfer RNA (tRNA) molecules are approximately 80 nucleotides in length. Their secondary structure includes four short double-helical elements and three loops (D, anti-codon, and T loops). The record is from RNAcentral. Lineage: Bacteria; Pseudomonadati; Pseudomonadota; Gammaproteobacteria; Enterobacterales; Morganellaceae.
GGGGCUAUAGCUCAAAAGGAAGAGCACUUGUAUGGCAUACAAGAGGCAGGCGGUUCGAUCCCGCUUAGCUCCACCA